Clupea harengus (Atlantic herring) is the source of this 204-nucleotide long non-coding RNA. RefSeq lists it as uncharacterized. The record is from RefSeq and is a predicted model, not a curated record. The transcript has 3 exons. Lineage: Eukaryota; Metazoa; Chordata; Actinopteri; Clupeiformes; Clupeidae.
UAUUACUAUUAUUACCAUUACUGUACUAAUGUAAUCUGUUACACCUUGGCGUUGUCCAUGUCUUGUAGGGAUUGCCUGGUGCACUUGGACCUCCAGGCCCAGCUGGGCACAAUGGAGAGAAGGGCGAGUCUGGACCCAGAGGCCCUUCAGGAAACCCUGGAGCCAGAGCUGUGGCCGGUUCUCGUGGUGAAACAGGUCCUAGUG